UGGGGAAUAUUGGACAAUGGGCGCAAGCCUGAUCCAGCCAUGCCGCGUGAGUGAUGAAGGCCCUAGGGUUGUAAAGCUCUUUCACCGGUGAAGAUAAUGACGGUAACCGGAGAAGAAGCCCCGGCUAACUUCGUGCCAGCAGCCGCGGUAAUACGAAGGGGGCUAGCGUUGUUCGGAUUUACUGGGCGUAAAGCGCACGUAGGCGGACUAUUAAGUCAGGGGUGAAAUCCCGGGGCUCAACCCCGGAACUGCCUUUGAUACUGGUAGUCUUGAAUUCGAGAGAGGUGAGUGGAAUUCCGAGUGUAGAGGUGAAAUUCGUAGAUAUUCGGAGGAACACCAGUGGCGAAGGCGGCUCACUGGCUCGAUACUGACGCUGAGGUGCGAAAGCGUGGGGAGCAAACAGG
Molecule: ribosomal RNA, 404 nt
Filed under: Actinomycetes bacterium
Lineage: Bacteria; Bacillati; Actinomycetota; Actinomycetes
Also listed under: 1 other name
Description: Actinobacteria bacterium partial 16S ribosomal RNA
Rfam family: Bacterial small subunit ribosomal RNA
Source: RNAcentral